CCUACGGGAGGCAGCAGUGAGGAAUAUUGGACAAUGGAGGCAACUCUGAUCCAGCCAUGCCGCGUGUAGGAAGACUGCCCUAUGGGUUGUAAACUACUUUUAUAUGGGAAGAAUAGGUCUACGUGUAGUCUGUUGACGGUACCAUAAGAAUAAGGACCGGCUAACUCCGUGCCAGCAGCCGCGG
RNAcentral lists this ribosomal RNA (184 nucleotides) under uncultured Dokdonia sp. RNAcentral's name for it is "partial 16S ribosomal RNA". It matches the Rfam family "Bacterial small subunit ribosomal RNA", at positions 338 to 520 of the family's 1533-position model. The record is from RNAcentral. Lineage: Bacteria; Pseudomonadati; Bacteroidota; Flavobacteriia; Flavobacteriales; Flavobacteriaceae.